This 296-nucleotide ribosomal RNA is filed under the name Anaplasma phagocytophilum. RNAcentral's name for it is "partial 16S ribosomal RNA". It matches the Rfam family "Bacterial small subunit ribosomal RNA", at positions 141 to 453 of the family's 1533-position model. Lineage: Bacteria; Pseudomonadati; Pseudomonadota; Alphaproteobacteria; Rickettsiales; Anaplasmataceae. The record is from RNAcentral.
GGAUAGCCACUGGAAAUGGUGGGUAAUACCGUAUAAUCCCCGCGGGGGAAAGAUUUAUCGCUAUUAGAUGAGCCUAUGUCGGAUUAGCUAGUUGGUGGGGUAAUGGCCUACCAAGGCAGUGAUCUGUAGCUGGUCUGAGAGGAUGAUCAGCCACACUGGAACUGAGACACGGUCCAGACUCCUACGGGAGGCAGCAGUGGGGAACAUUGGACAAUGGGCGCAAGCCUGAUCCAGCUAUGCCGCGUGAGUGAGGAAGGCCUUAGGGUUGUAAAACUCUUUCAGUAGGGAAGAUAAUG